Long non-coding RNA from Ipomoea nil (Japanese morning glory), 400 nucleotides. RefSeq lists it as uncharacterized. The transcript has 3 exons. Lineage: Eukaryota; Viridiplantae; Streptophyta; Magnoliopsida; Solanales; Convolvulaceae. The record is from RefSeq and is a predicted model, not a curated record.
AUUGUAAUUCUAACCAGCAAAGGAUCACAAGAAGGUAAACCAGCCUAGGUUGCCCAUAGCUGACUGGCUCAAACCAAGAAAACAAAUAGACGCUUUUCCUAGGAGUUGAACUUGUAACCUUGUGGUUAUCAAGCCAACAGUCUGACCAAUUUGGUCGGGGUUGCUCCCAACAACAUAUAUUAGUCUCUCAAUUUUGAAGCUUUUACCACUUUUAAUCCUUCCGGUGAGUUUUCUAAUCAAACAUAACCUAAAGGCUAGCUAGGCACAUGUUUAUUUUCCAGAAAAUGGCCUAAAAGACAUUAGAUGCUGGUGGUCAGAACCCACAUGCACCACCACCCAUUUUGGCAAAGUUCAUCUUAGUGUAUGGAAUGCACUUAAAGAAAGAAAGUAAGAGUUAGUA